ACCAGGCUGAAGCUAGCGAACAAUAACUAGCGAACAAUAAGCCAGCGAACAAUAAGGCGAUAUAUCUAAAAACCGAAAAAAUGAAUAAGACAGCAACGGCCGUUAAAUGAAAAAUAUUUAAACAGGCAGAAAUUCCGUCCAAAUAUUGCAAUUUCAACUCUAUCAUGAAAUGGUAUUUAUCCCAUCCAUUGAUAAAACAAGUCACAUCUCUUUUUAGGCUAAUAUUCAGUACCACAGUAAAUCUGCAUCUGUCAAAGGAUUAUUUGUAGGUGUAAAACCACCAAUGCACCCACUUCCAUUUAGUACGUAUGUAAAAGUAGUCCUUCCCUGUAAAAUACAGCACCUUUGAUGUCAUUGUUUAAUUGAACUAAGAUACACAUUUGCAGAAAUGGGGGUUGGCCUAUUCCAUGGCUUCUUGAGAAAAAUAAUGAGGGGUGUCACGGGGUAUGACUAUAUAGGUCUUGUAGAGGAGAAACAGGCGCAUCUUUUGCGCAAGGUAUCGAAGGGCGCUAUGUUCAAAAAUCUGAAACUAGAGCUCAAAAUUUGAAAAAAAUUUGUUAAAAACAGGGGAAAUGGCCUAUUCCAUGGCUUCUAGAGAAAAAUAAUGAGGGGUGUCACGGGGUAUGACUAUAUAGGUCUUGUAGAGGAGAAACAGGCGCAUCUUUUGCGCAUGGUAUCGAAGGGCGCUAUGUUCAAAAAUCUGAAACUAGAGCUCAAAAUUUGAAAAAAAAAAUUGUUAAAAACAGGGGGGUUGGCCUAUUCCAUGGCUUCUAGAGAAAAAUAAUGAGGGGUGUCACGGGGUAUGACUAUAUAGGUCUUGUAGAGGAGAAACAGGCGCAUCUUUUGCGCAAGGUAUUGAGGGGCGCUAUGUUCAAAAAUCUGAAACUAGAGCUCAAAAUUUGAAAAAAAAAAUUGUUAAAAACAGGGGGUUGGCCUAUUCAAUGGUUUCUAGGGAAAAAUAAUGAGGGGUGUCACGGGGUAUGACAAUAUAGGUCUUGUAGAAGAGAAACAGGCGCAUCCUUUGCGCAAGGUAUCGAAGGGCGCUAUGUUCAAAAAUCUGAAACUAGAGCUCAAAAUUUGAAAAAAAAUGUUAAAAACAGGGGGGUUGGCCUAGUCCAUGGCUUCUAGAGAAAAAUAAUGAGGGGUGUCACGGGGUAUGACUAUAUAGGUCUUGUAGAGGAGAAACAGGCGCAUCUCUUGCGCAAGGUAUCGAAGGGCGCUAUGUUCAAAAAUCUGAAACUAGAGCUCAAAAUUUGAAAAAAAUUGUUUAAAACAGGGGGGUUGGCCUAUUCCUUGGUUUCUAGAGAAAAAUAAUGAGGGAUGUCACGGGGUAUGUCUAUAUAGGUCUUGAAGAAGAGAAACAGGCGCAUCUUUUGCGCAAGGUAUCGAAGGGCGCUAUGUUCAAAAAUCUGAAACUAGAGCUCAAAAUUUGAAAAAAAAAAUUGUUAAAAACAGGGGGUUGGCCUAUUCAAUUGUUUCUAGGGAAAAAUAAUGAGGGGUGUCACGGGGUAUGACAAUAUAGGUCUUGUAGAAGAGAAACAGGCGCAUUUUUUGCGCAAGGUAUCGAAGGGCGCUAUGUUCAAAAAUCUGAAACUAGAGCUCAAAAUUUGAAAAAAAAUUUUGAAAACAGGGGGGUUGGCCUAUUCAAUGGCUUCUACAGAAAAAUAAUGAGGGGUGUCACGGGGUAUGACUAUAUAGGCCUUGUAGAAGAGAAACAGGCGCAUCUUUUGCGCAAGGUAUCGAAGGGCGCUAUGUUCAAAAAUCUGAAACUAGAGCUCAAAAUUUGAAAAAUAAAUUGUUAAAAACAGGGGGGUUGGCCUAUUCCAUGGCUUCUAGAGAAAAAUAACGAGGGGUGUCACGGGGUAUGACUAUAUAGGUCUUGUAGAGGAGAAACAGGCGCAUCUCUUGCGAAAAAAAUCGAAAGGCGCUUUGUUCAAAAUUCUGAAACUAGAGCUCAAAAUUUGAAAAAAAAUGUUAAAACAGGGGGGUUGGCCUAUUCUAUGGCUUCUAGAGAAAAAUAACGAGGAGUGUCACGGGGUAUGACUAUAUAGGUCUUGUAGAGGAGAAACAGGCGCAUCUCUUGCGC
This is a long non-coding RNA of Mytilus californianus (California mussel), 2086 nucleotides long. RefSeq lists it as uncharacterized. The transcript has 3 exons. Lineage: Eukaryota; Metazoa; Mollusca; Bivalvia; Mytilida; Mytilidae. The record is from RefSeq and is a predicted model, not a curated record.